UACGGAGGGUGCAAGCGUUAUCCGGAUUUACUGGGUUUAAAGGGUGCGUAGGUGGGCGAGUAAGUCAGUGGUGAAAUCUCCGGGCUUAACCCGGAAACUGCCAUUGAUACUAUUUGUCUUGAAUACUUUGGAGGUAAGCGGAAUAUGUCAUGUAGCGGUGAAAUGCUUAGAUAUGACAUAGAACACCAAUGGCGAAGGCAGCUUACUAGACAGUAAUUGACACUGAGGCACGAAAGCGUGGGGAGCAAACAGG
RNAcentral lists this ribosomal RNA (253 nucleotides) under uncultured bacterium. RNAcentral describes it as "partial 16S ribosomal RNA". It matches the Rfam family "Bacterial small subunit ribosomal RNA", at positions 524 to 776 of the family's 1533-position model. The record is from RNAcentral.